UGGUAAUCAAGAUCCUCUCUUCAUGUCUCUUGAUCUUCACUGGACUAGAAGAACCUGUAGCUCUUCGAGCUGCAGUGGAAAGUGACCUGUUGUGUUUGUGGAAGCUCUGGAAUCCCGCAGGAGAAGGAUCACUCAGCACCACGGCAAUCUGCCAAGUACAACUUGUUCUGAAACACAGUGGCUCUGAGAAGUUGCCUUAUCAACUGAAACACAAUGUCAGCUUAGCAGGAGGAUCCAGACAUGAAAGAAGAAAGGCCCGAUCAAAAAAAAAGAGAGGCAGGUUGAUAUGCCAUUUCAAGGAAGAACUGGAUGGCCUCAGAAUUAUUUGAAACAGUGUUUACAGAGCUUAUGUAAGUCAAUAUUCAUUUUUUCACUGA
Dromaius novaehollandiae (emu) is the source of this 377-nucleotide long non-coding RNA. RefSeq lists it as uncharacterized. The record is from RefSeq and is a predicted model, not a curated record. The transcript has 3 exons. NCBI's taxonomy places the organism in Eukaryota, Metazoa, Chordata, Aves, Casuariiformes, Dromaiidae.